Molecule: unclassified non-coding RNA, 345 nt
Filed under: soil metagenome
Description: partial contains 5.8S ribosomal RNA, internal transcribed spacer 2, and large subunit ribosomal RNA
Rfam family: 5.8S ribosomal RNA (bases 1-120)
Source: RNAcentral
GAUGAAGAACGUAGCGAAAUGCGAUAAGUAAUGUGAAUUGCAGAGUUCAGUGAAUCAUCGAAUCUUUGAACGCACAUUGCGCCCGUCAGUAUUCUGACGGGCAUGCCUGUCCGAGCGUCAUUUCAACCCUCAAGCACGGCUUGUGUGUUGGGCCUCCGUCCUCCUCCCGGGGGACGGGCCCGAAAGGCAGCGGCGGCACCGCGUCCGGUCCUCGAGCGUAUGGGGCUUCGUCACCCGCUCUUGUAGGCCCGGCCGGCGCUUGCCGACACAUCAAUCUUUUUUCCAGGUUGACCUCGGAUCAGGUAGGGAUACCCGCUGAACUUAAGCAUAUCAAUAAGCGGAGGA